AUGGAGAGUUUGAUCCUGGCUCAGGAUGAACGCUAGCGGCAGGCUUAACACAUGCAAGUCGAACGCACCUUCGGGUGAGUGGCAGACGGGUGAGUAACGCGUGAGCAACCUACCUCUAUCAGGGGGAUAGCCUCUCGAAAGAGAGAUUAACACCGCAUAACAUCACGGGAUAGCAUUAUUUUGUGAUCAAAUAUUUAUAGGAUAAAGAUGGGCAUGCGGGACAUUAGCUAGUUGGCGGGGUAACGGCCCACCAAGGCGACGAUGACUAGGGGAUCUGAGAGGAUGAC
RNAcentral lists this ribosomal RNA (287 nucleotides) under Chloropicon mariensis. RNAcentral's name for it is "partial Bacterial small subunit ribosomal RNA". It matches the Rfam family "Bacterial small subunit ribosomal RNA", at positions 1 to 304 of the family's 1533-position model. Lineage: Eukaryota; Viridiplantae; Chlorophyta; Chloropicophyceae; Chloropicales; Chloropicaceae. The record is from RNAcentral.